This 427-nucleotide ribosomal RNA is filed under the name uncultured bacterium. RNAcentral's name for it is "bacterial SSU rRNA". It matches the Rfam family "Bacterial small subunit ribosomal RNA", at positions 355 to 774 of the family's 1533-position model. The record is from RNAcentral.
UGGGGAAUUUUGGACAAUGGGGGCAACCCUGAUCCAGCCAUUCCGCGUGAGUGAAGAAGGCCUUCGGGUUGUAAAGCUCUUUCAGCUGGAACGAAACGGUACAGGUUAAUACCCUGUGCUAAUGACGGUACCGGCAGAAGAAGCACCGGCUAACUACGUGCCAGCAGCCGCGGUAAUACGUAGGGUGCGAGCGUUAAUCGGAAUUACUGGGCGUAAAGCGUGCGCAGGCGGAUUGUUAAGCAAGAUGUGAAAUCCCCGGGCUUAACCUGGGAAUGGCAUUUUGAACUGGCAGUCUAGAGUGCGUCAGAGGGGGGUGGAAUUCCACGUGUAGCAGUGAAAUGCGUAGAGAUGUGGAGGAACACCAAUGGCGAAGGCAGCCCCCUGGGAUGACACUGACGCUCAUGUACGAAAGCGUGGGUAGCAAACA